Molecule: long non-coding RNA, 592 nt
Organism: Thunnus maccoyii (southern bluefin tuna)
Lineage: Eukaryota; Metazoa; Chordata; Actinopteri; Scombriformes; Scombridae
Exons: 3
Source: RefSeq, a predicted model, not a curated record
CUGAAACCACUAUGCCUUUACUUUACAUGUCUAUUUCUACACCUGUUGAAUAAACACGAUACAACAUGUACUGUAUAUAAGACAGACAGCUGUGGAACUGUUGGAAGAUUGAUUUCCACUUUGGAUGAAGCUAAGAUAGCAGUUUCCACCUUCCUCCAUCCCUUGUGCUAAGCUAGGCUAAACACCUGUUCCUUUAAAGCUGCAGUCUGUUAUCAUAAUUGAUAUUAAAAACGAGGCGAGGUGGGGAACUUAAAUGCACAGUUUUAAUGUAAAAAUAAAAAAAGAUAGAGUUUGAUGACGUCGUGAAGUAGCAUGGGAUCAUGGGAGUUGUUGUCUUCAUUGUUAAACAACCCCCACUGCCGAUGACAAAUUGAUCUGACGUGACUAAGAAGAAGAAAAUAUGAGGCAAAAUCAUGUUCACACACGAGGAGCCUGACUUACUGGUCUGAGCAGCCAAUAGGAGGGCAGACAGACACACAGACAGACAGCACUCUCUCUGUGUGUGUCAGGGCCAGUCCAGACCUGAAGGACCCCCCCCUGCUGUUCAUGAACGAGGACUGAGCGUCCCUCAUGUUGUCCCUGAACGUCCUGG